This 272-nucleotide ribosomal RNA is filed under the name uncultured prokaryote. Its description in RNAcentral is "partial 16S ribosomal RNA". It matches the Rfam family "Bacterial small subunit ribosomal RNA", at positions 524 to 796 of the family's 1533-position model. The record is from RNAcentral.
UACGGGGGGUGCGAGCGUUGUCCGGAAUCACUGGGCGUAAAGGGCGCGUAGGUGGCCUGAUAAGGGUGUGGUGAAAGUCCGGGGCUUAACCCCGGAUCUGCCGUGCCGACUGUUAGGCUAGAGUGCUGUAGGGGCAGGCGGAAUUCCGGGUGUAGCGGUGGAAUGCGUAGAGAUCCGGAGGAAGACCGGUGGCGAAGGCGGCCUGCUGGGCAGAUACUGACACUGAGGCGCGACAGCGUGGGGAGCAAACAGGAUUAGAAACCCUUUAGUCC